This 301-nucleotide ribosomal RNA is filed under the name uncultured bacterium. Its description in RNAcentral is "partial 16S ribosomal RNA". It matches the Rfam family "Bacterial small subunit ribosomal RNA", at positions 509 to 807 of the family's 1533-position model. The record is from RNAcentral.
CAGUAGCCGCGGGAAUACAGAGGGUGCGAGCGUUAAUCGGAUUUACUGGGCGUAAAGCGUGCGUAGGCGGCUUCUUAAGUCGGAUGUGAAAUCCCUGAGCUUAACUUAGGAAUUGCAUUCGAUACUGGGAAGCUAGAGUAUGGGAGAGGAUGGUAGAAUUCCAGGUGUAGCGGUGAAAUGCGUAGAGAUCUGGAGGAAUACCGAUGGCGAAGGCAGCCAUCUGGCCUAAUACUGACGCUGAGGUACGAAAGCAUGGGGAGCAAACAGGAUUAGAUACCCCCGUAGUCCCUGUCUCUUAUAC